Molecule: ribosomal RNA, 253 nt
Filed under: uncultured bacterium
Lineage: Bacteria
Description: partial 16S ribosomal RNA
Rfam family: Bacterial small subunit ribosomal RNA
Source: RNAcentral
UACGGAGGGUGCAAGCGUUAUCCGGAUUUACUGGGUUUAAAGGGUGCGUAGGUGGGUCUGUAAGUCAGUGGUGAAAUCUCCGGGCUUAACCCGGAAACUGCCAUUGAUACUAUAGGUCUUGAAUACUCUGGAGGUAAGCGGAAUAUGUCAUGUAGCGGUGAAAUGCUUAGAUAUGACACAGAACACCGAUUGCGAAGGCAGCUCACUAAACUGUAACUGACGCUGAGGCACGAAAGCGUGGGGAGCAAACAGG